GACGAACGCUGGCGGCGUGCUUAACACAUGCAAGUCGAACGGCAAGGCCCUGCUUUUGUGGGGUGCUCGAGUGGCGAACGGGUGAGUAACACGUGAGUAACCUGCCCUUGACUUUGGGAUAACUUCAGGAAACUGGGGCUAAUACCGGAUAGGAGCUCCUGCUGCAUGGUGGGGGUUGGAAAGUUUCGGCGGUUGGGGAUGGACUCGCGGCUUAUCAGCUUGUUGGUGGGGUAGUGGCUUACCAAGGCUUUGACGGGUAGCCGGCCUGAGAGGGUGACCGGCCCCCUUGGGACUGAGAUACGGCCCAGACUCCUACGGGAGGCAGAAGUGGGGAAUAUUGCACAAUGGGCGGAAGCCUGAUGCAGCAACGCCGCGUGCGGGAUGACGGCCUUCGGGUUGUAAACCGCGUUCGCCUGUGACGAAGCGUGAGUGACGGUAAUGGGUAAAGAAGCACCGGCUAACUACGUG
RNAcentral lists this ribosomal RNA (468 nucleotides) under uncultured bacterium. Its description in RNAcentral is "partial 16S ribosomal RNA". It matches the Rfam family "Bacterial small subunit ribosomal RNA", at positions 28 to 507 of the family's 1533-position model. The record is from RNAcentral.